UACGGAGGGUGCAAGCGUUAUCCGGAUUUACUGGGUUUAAAGGGUGCGCAGGCGGAUAUGUAAGUCAGUGGUGAAAUCUCUGGGCUUAACCCGGAACUGCCGUUGAUACUAUCUGUCUUGAAUAUAGUGGAGGUGAGCGGAAUAUGUCAUGUAGCGGUGAAAUGCUUAGAUAUGACAUAGAACAUCGAUUGCGAAGGCAGCUCGCUACACUAUGAUUGACACUGAGGCACGAAAGCGUGGGGGAUCAAAACAGG
This 254-nucleotide ribosomal RNA is filed under the name uncultured bacterium. RNAcentral's name for it is "partial 16S ribosomal RNA". It matches the Rfam family "Bacterial small subunit ribosomal RNA", at positions 524 to 776 of the family's 1533-position model. The record is from RNAcentral.